RNAcentral lists this ribosomal RNA (253 nucleotides) under uncultured bacterium. RNAcentral describes it as "partial 16S ribosomal RNA". It matches the Rfam family "Bacterial small subunit ribosomal RNA", at positions 524 to 776 of the family's 1533-position model. The record is from RNAcentral.
GACGUAGGGUGCAAGCGUUGUCCGGAUUUACUGAGCGUAAAGAGCGCGUAGGCGGCUCGUUAAGUGAGAAGUGAAAGCUGUGGGCUCAACCCACAAACCGCUUUUCAUACUGGCGAGCUGGAGUGAUGCAGAGGUGGAUAGAAUUCCCGGUGUAGCGGUGAAAUGCGUUGAUAUCGGGAGGAAUACCCGUGGCGAAGGCGGUCCACUGGGCAUCAACUGACGCUGAGGCGCGAAAGCGUGGGUAGCAAACAGG